Molecule: unclassified non-coding RNA, 267 nt
Filed under: Anneissia japonica
Lineage: Eukaryota; Metazoa; Echinodermata; Crinoidea; Comatulida; Comatulidae
Description: glycine amidinotransferase, mitochondrial-like, transcript variant X1
Source: RNAcentral
GGGUUAUAUUGGAUCCCAUGAGAGACUAGAAUUACCAGUUAGAGGUCAAUUUGUGACGACAGAAUUUGAACCUUGCUUUGAUGCUGCUGAUUUUCAAUGUGCUGGAAAGGACAUUUUUGCCAGUUAAGUCACAUCACCCGAUGUGGUUUUCUUCAACAUGGCUGUCAAUGAAUGUUCUGAUGUUGGACCAUAACCGGGUGGUUGUAGAUGCAAACGAGAUUCCUACUCAAAGACUUUUCGAGAAACUUGGUAUGGAAUGCAUCAAGG